This 253-nucleotide ribosomal RNA is filed under the name uncultured bacterium. Its description in RNAcentral is "partial 16S ribosomal RNA". It matches the Rfam family "Bacterial small subunit ribosomal RNA", at positions 524 to 776 of the family's 1533-position model. The record is from RNAcentral.
UACGAAGGGGGCUAGCGUUGUUCGGAAUUACUGGGCGUAAAGCGCGCGCAGGCGGUUUUUCAAGUCAGUGGUGAAAGCCCGGAGCUCAACUCCGGAAAUGCCAUUGAAACUGUUAAACUUGAGGAUGAGAGAGGUGAGUGGAAUUCCCAGUGUAGAGGUGAAAUUCGUAGAUAUUGGGAAGAACACCGGUGGCGAAGGCGGCUCACUGGCUCAUUACUGACGCUCAGGCGCGACAGCGUGGGGAUCAAACAGG